Molecule: unclassified non-coding RNA, 5866 nt
Filed under: Hevea brasiliensis (rubber tree)
Lineage: Eukaryota; Viridiplantae; Streptophyta; Magnoliopsida; Malpighiales; Euphorbiaceae
Source: RNAcentral
UGCCAAGAUUGAAUUCUAUCUACAAGUUCGAGUUCUACCCUUUCUACCAUCAUUCUACAACUUACAACCAUUCCUGUUAGCUUUGUACAAUUUUGUGUUUUACAACUCCAAAAGUACCAAGUUCUACAUACAGAUUCUGGAGCAAGUGUCAUUGAAUAAACAAGAAAUUGCAGUUUUAUGUUGUACAGCAUUCAGCAACAUCAAUAAUAUGUCAUUAUUAUCACAGUAUCUUUACAUCAAUUCAGUAUAUAUAGUGAUUUUUUUUUCUAAAAUAAUAAUAAUAAGUAGAAGGUAUAUGCAACAAUCGGCAAUGCAACCCUGCGUAAAGGAUUCUCAUAACCUAUAUCUUCUUGUUGUCAUUGAUGCUGCUGUUGCUGCUGCAGACUGAUUAACUUAAAAUAAGCACCAUCUUUGUUCUCAAGAAGACUUGAAUGAGUCCCUUCCUCUAUUAUCUUCCCACCUUGUAUUACUGAUAUUUGAUCUGCAUUCUUUAUAGUUGAUAGCCUAUGCGCCACCAUGACUGUGGUGCGGUUCCUCAUCAAUCUGUCUAGAGCUUGUUGCACAACACGCUCUGACUCCACAUCUAGAGCACUAGUGGCUUCAUCUAAAAGCAGGAUUUCUGGGUUCGUUAGAACUGCUCGAGCAAUAGCCACCCUUUGUUUCUGGCCACCGGAUAGUUGCACCCCUCGCUCGCCUACUUUGGUUAAGUAGCCAUCAGGAAGGGAACUAAUGAAGUUAUGAGCAUUUGCAAGUUUAGCUGCUUCAACCACUUCUCCUUCAGACGCUCCUUCUUUCCCAUAUAAGAUGUUUUCGUAGAUUGAAGUGGCAAAAAGAGCCGGCUCUUGUUGAACUAAGCCAAUGUGUUUUCUGAGAGAUUUCAGCUUAAGUUUCUUGAUAUCAAUGCCAUCAAUCAUCACUUUUCCUGCUGUUGGAUCGUAGAAUCUCAAUAUAAGAGAAAGAACAGAGCUUUUGCCAGAACCACUUUGCCCAACUAAAGCCACAUUCUUGCCUGCACGCACUCUUAGAUCAAAGUCCUUGAAAAUUGAUACAUCUGGCCUGGAUGGAUAGCUAAAUUCUACCCCUCUGAGCUCAAUAUUACCCUCCACAUUUUUCAACUCUUCUCCAGUAUCCCCUAUUAUAUUUGUCUUGCGGUCCAGCAGCUCAAAGACAGAUGCUACCAUUUGAUUCCCUUUUAAAAGAUCUGGGGCCAUUGCCAGAGUUUCACCCAUGGCUAAUGCAGUAACAAUCAAAACCAUAAACGACUUCAUUACAGAUUUAAAGCCAGCAAGCUCCCUCCCCAUCAAAACAGAACCAUACCACAAGGCAAGCCCAUAAGAUGAGAAGAUGAAGAACUGGGACACUCCAUAGAAUAUGCCAGCAAUUUGACCACGAGUAAAUGAGCGCUGCGAAGGUUCCACCAGCUCACGGGAAUAAAGAUCCAGGACCUUUUCUUCUGCACAAAAAGCUGCAACAGUGCGGAUGUUGCUAACAGCCUCACCGGCCAGCAUAUUAGCCUUUAGAUAUGCUUUGCUCAAGUUUCCACCAUAGCCUUUCAUGAAGAGUUUCUGAAUUCACAGGAAUUAUUAUUGAUGUUGCACAAGGGAAAAAAAAUUGAAUUUAGAUUAUAGGAAAGAAAGGAAACCUCGCUGAUGUGACCACUUAUGACCAAUGGAUAAGUGGCUAUGACAACAAGUGUGAUCCUCCAGUUUAAGAUGAAAGCAAUGAUGAAUGAGGUGACAACAAGGCCAACAUUCUGUAACAGAAUUGUUGUGCGAUCAACGACUAUAUUUCGUAAUAAAGUUGCAUCACUCUCUAGACGUGAUGCGAGCAUAGAACUUGCGUUAUUCAAGUCAUCAAACCAUCCAAUCUCAUUCUUCAAAAUGGCUGAAAACAUCUUUUCCCUGACACGGAAAGUGAGCCGCUCACCCAUGAUUCCAAAGGAGAGAUGCUCAAUGGAAUAGAUAAUGAUAGUUAUUACUGAACCACAGCAGAACAAGAUUGAAAUCUUUUUGACCUCAUGGCGCGUAGUGUCCCAGUCCAUGUAAUACGAAACAAGAGCCUGAGAGACUCCAAGUGCGAAAAGUGGCAUCUGUGCUCCAGCAAUAAACGCACAAAAGGUACCUAAUACUCCAUAAGCCCAAUCAGGGCCAACCAUUGAAUAGAGUCUUUUAGCUGAAACAUGCCUUGGCUUUGCAGGUUCCAUUGCAUCAGCACCAGCACGACUAACUGAAUCUUUUUCAGAGUGAAAACUUGCACCAAAGCUUGAUCUUCUGUGGGAUAAUUCUCGAGAAUACCUUAUGCUGAGAGGCCGUCCCAUGGUAGGACCUAUGGAGGAUUGGCGUUGAAAGGAAGCAGCCUCCUGGAGAUGAAUGAGUGAUGCAUAAGCACUAUUUUGGUUAGAGAUGAGCUCCUCGUGGCUCCCAAUUUCCACUAUCUUCCCUUCCUGAACAACAGCAAUCACAUCUGCAUUCCUGAUGGUAGAAAGCCGAUGGGCAACAACUACAGUUGUUCUUCCCACCAUAACACGAUCAAGUGCCUCUUGCACACUCUUCUCAGACUCUGCAUCAAGUGCACUUGUAGCUUCAUCUAGCAAAAGAAUCGAUGGAUUCUUCACUAUAGCACGUGAUAUUGCAAUCCUUUGCUUUUGUCCACCUGAUAGCUGUAUUCCCCUCUCACCAACCUGAGUUUCAAAUCUGUCAGGGAGGUUGUUGAUAAAAGACAUAGCUUCUGAGAGUUUAGCAGAAUUUACUAUCUCAUCAAGGGUUGCAUCAUCUUUUCCAUAGAGAAUGUUCUCCCUUAUGCUCGUCGCAAAAAGGGCAGGCUCCUGAUUAACUAGUCCAAUUUGUUGCCUGAGCCACUUAAGGUCUAGGUGCCUGAUAUCAUUCCCAUCUAGCAAUAUUUGUCCAGAAAGAGGUUCAUAGAAGCGUUCAAUCAAAGAUAUAACCGUGCUCUUUCCAGAGCCACUGCCUCCAACAAGAGCUACAAUCUUCCCAGAAGGGAAGUCAAGGCAGAGUUCAUCAAAGAUCAUUACAUCAGGACGUGAUGGGUAGCUAAAAGACACAUUCUUGAAUUCUAUGUGUCCCUCCAAUUUAUCUAGCUUCUGGGCAGUUUUUGAGCUGGUUUUCGUCAUUGUGUUCCUUUCUAUCAUCUCAAAAAUGGGGUAUGCUGCUGCCUUAGCUCGCACAAAGGCAGAUAUGUCUGGUGCUGCCUGUCCUAGUGACAGGCCAGCAAUAACCACGUUGAGCAUGGUGGUGAAAGAUUCACCACCAUUCGCAAUGUCCUUAUGAACAACUAUGCUAGUGAACCAAACAAGCAAUGCCCAUGAAAGGAAAAGGACACUGUGCAGGGUCCCUAGCCCUAGACCCUUUGCUAGUCCUGCUUUUCUUCCGUACUGGUAUGUAUUUCUUAGAGCUUCUUUAUAAGAUCCUACAGCCCUUUCUUCUCCCGCAAAUGCUUGCACUGUUCUAACGUUAGCAAUCACCUCCUCAGCGAUUUCACCAGCCUUGACGUAAGAUUUACGCACUCUAGCAAUAAGGCCGAUUGUGACAAAGGCAUAGCAACCGCCAGCAAGAGCAAUUAAAGGGACUAUAGACAAGGUUACUAAACUGAUUUGCCACACCCUCACGAACCCAAUGGUGAAGCCACAUAGAAAUCGGCUUAUGUAAUGCAUGAAGUUCCCUACCUUUUCGGAGAUGGCAUCUUGCACCACAAUAAUAUCACUUGUAAUUGCAGCUAUGACCUCUCCAGUAGAGGCUUCAGUGUCAAAUAAACUUAUAUCUUGAUUAAGCAUAGACCUUAGAUAUGCCAUUCUCAUCCUUGCUGCCUGCCUUUCUCCAGUAUGCAUCCAGCAUGCCACCUCUAUCCAUGAUGAAAAUAAUAUAACGAUACUGAGGUACACAAAAUCCAGUGAGUACUUAGCAACUUUGUGGGAAGCCUGCUGGGGAAAAAGAUAAGCCAAGCCAAUGAUAUUAAUCAACUUGCCAAAGAAAAUGAAGAACACAGGCACCGAAGCUCCAUGAACACAAGCACCAAGGGAUCCCAAACCCAUCAAAACAUAGUCGUAGAAAUCUGCAAAUGCAAAUAGUUUCAGCAAUGGAACUCUAUUUUGCUUUUUUCUUUCUUCUUCUUCUUCUUCUCUUUUCUAGACAGUGAUCUUAGUCUGACUUUAUGAUGGAGGCAAAAUCACUACCCUUCAUAACCCACCAAUCCUUCUUCUCGGCCGUGCGAUCAGGCGACCUUCACUCUCUGAAAGAGAUUGUGGAGAAGUUGACAAAAGAUGAGCCGUCCGAUGGGUCCUCUCCUGUGUCUGAUCUAAUGGCUGCGCAAACUAUUGCAGGGGAGCCUGCGUUGUAUAUAGCUGCAGAUAAUAAUUUGGAAGAGGUUUUUAGCUAUUUGAUCAACUUUUAUGAUGUGGAAGCUGUCAAGAUCAGGGCUAAGUCUGGGAUGGAUGCUUUCCAUGUUGCAGCUAAGAAGGGUCAUUUGGGUAUUGUGAAAAAACUUUUGAGCAUUUGGCCUGAGCUUUGCAAGUUCUGUGACUCCUCAAAUACUAGCCCCCUUUACUCAGCAGCUGUUCAAGAUCAUUUGGAUGUGGUGAAUGCAAUCUUGGAUGUUGAUGUCAGUUCAGUAAGGAUAGUGAGGAAAAAUGGGAAAACCGCAUUGCACACAGCUGCUAGGUAUGGCCUUGUUCGAAUCGUAAAAGCAUUAAUAGACCGUGAUCCAGGAAUUGUCUGCAUCAAAGAUAAGAAAGGCCAAACUGCUCUCCAUAUGGCUGUAAAGGGCCAGAGCAUUGCUGUAGUUGAGGACAUAUUAUUGGCUGAUUCUUCAAUACUAAAUGAGCGUGACAAGAAGGGUAACACGGCAGUACAUAUAGCCACAAGGAAAUCUCGUUCACUGAUUGUAAGCCUUCUGCUAAGCUACGUAUAUGUUGAUGUCAAUGCCAUCAAUAAUCAGCGUGAAACUGCAAUGGAUUUGGCUGAUAAACUCCAAUAUGGAGAACCAGCAUUGGAAAUCAAGGAAGCUCUCACAGAGGCUGGUGCCAAGCAUGCUAGGUAUGUUGGACAAGUGGAUGAAGCAAUGGAGCUUAAGAGGACUGUGAGUGAUAUAAAGCAUGAGGUGCACUCACAACUCAUACAAAAUGAAAAAACUAACAGAAGGGUUUCUGGUAUUGCAAAAGAACUAAGGAAACUUCACAGAGAGGCUGUCCAAAAUACCACCAACUCUGUAACUGUUGUUGCUGUUCUUUUUGCUUCUAUUGCCUUCUUGGCUAUAUUCAACUUGCCUGGGCAAUAUAUAACAGAUGGAAGUGAAGCAGGGAAGGCUAAGAUAGCUGAUAAUGUUGGUUUCCAAGUUUUUUGCCUUCUAAAUGCAACAUCUCUCUUUAUAUCUCUAGCCGUUGUCGUGGUUCAGAUCACUUUGGUGGCCUGGGACACUACAGCUCAGAAACAGGUUGUAUCAGUUGUUAACAAACUGAUGUGGGCUGCCUGUGCUUGCACGUGUGGGUCUUUUCUUUCUGUAGCUUUUGUGAUAGUGGGAAAAGGCAGUUCGUGGAUGGCUAUAACAAUAACCUUAAUGGGGGCACCAAUUCUUGUUGGGACACUUGCAAGUAUGGGCUACUUUGUUUUCCGCCAACAUUUUGGAGUUUUUAAAGAUUCCCAGAGACGCAUAAAAAGGGCCAGUGGAAGUAAGUCUUUCUCAUGGUCUCUGUACUCGGCAAACAUAUCAGAUAUUGAAGACUACAACUCUGAUAUGGAGAAGAUAUAUGCUUUGUGAACACUGCAUUAGCCUCUCCUAUUAUGAUCUCUUUGCUGUUGAUAUUCGCAAUCAACUAUGCUUUUUCCCAGCCAAAGAAGAAGGAAAAAAAAAAAAA